Molecule: long non-coding RNA, 2382 nt
Organism: Columba livia (rock pigeon)
Lineage: Eukaryota; Metazoa; Chordata; Aves; Columbiformes; Columbidae
Exons: 3
Source: RefSeq, a predicted model, not a curated record
CGGCGCUUCCCGCACAGCCUGCGGCAGCACUGGGGGAGGCCGGAAAGCACCCCGCAGUGACGCUGAGGAGGGAACUCUACGCGAACCGCCCCGGCCAGCCGGUAUCUCCACACAGGCCCCGCUGAGAGCGGCACUUGAUGGGGGAGACCACACCGCUCCGCGCUCCCCCAAAACCGCCACGGACUACAGCUCCCAGCAUGCCCCGGGGCGGCGGCGCAUGCGCCCUGCUCACCAAACCCUCUGAUUGGCUCAGCCGGGCGCUCCUCCGCCGACAGCGCCCCCUUGCGGCGGCGGCGCGGCUGGGGCGCCCUCAGGCGGCGGCUCCGCGCAGCCCCGGGACCCCCGGGCGCCCGUCGGCUCCACAGCGCCCUGGCCGAGGCCUGGCCCGAGCUGCCUGGGCUGGUAAGGCGCCCAGGUGCUGUGGGGAUUCCCUCGCCUGUUCCCUCUCGCUCCCGGGCCUGCUGGGUGAGGAGGAGCCUGCGAGGUUCCUGAGCUGAACUGGCCCAUAGAGACCCUGAUGAACACUGAAGCAGAGCGCUGGGGACAGGGAGAAGAGGCAAAUAAGAGGUGACUUUUUGUGGCAAAUACUCCGCACCUCAACACCAGCUGGCUGCUCGGUGGGGAGCACACGGCGGAGCAGAUCCAACUCGAGCCUCUUGAACUGCUUUUAAAUAUUUUGACCCUGCUGGCGAAGGGCUGGACACUGUUCAGGAGGAAAUGACAGCUCGGGUGUGCAGGUGGCGUGCGUGUGGAGCCCCUGGAGCUGUGGCUGCACGAACCACAGGGGGGUUUUCAGCAUCUCUUUACAGCGGAGCAGGAACCAGCUUUUCUGCAGAUUCUGAGAAAACUCCCUUUUUCUACUUGCCCUCCCCAACUUUAUGCCUCACCCCCAUAAAGAAAAUCCCUCCAGUUCUUCUAAGCCACUAAAGAUUAUCUAAUCUCUCCACUUCCUCUAAAUUAGCCGUGAAAUGAGUUCCUGGAGAGACCUGCAGCAGUUUGGAGGUGCCUUCAUCAGCACCUCAGAGCCUGAGACAUGGGGCACUGUUUGUUUUAGCGGUGGAGCCAGCGCUUUAUCGGGCUGGUGCAUGUUCGUUAAGCCGGUGUUUAACUGCCAGUUCCCUGUAAAAGCUUGUUUCUUCUCAUCAUGCCUGAAAGCGUUUGCCUGCUUACCCCUUUUUGGGUGGCUAAAUAUAAAAGCAACCACCACCUACUCCGAAAGGCUUAAUGCCGUAGAACGUCUGUUCAAACCUGAUGCUCCGCAAACCGUCAAAACGGCACCUUGGGGAUGAGCAAUAACUACAAAUACGCGCAUGUGUUGGCAGAUGAAUAAUCUGGAUUAUGGGCACAGUUGUGGGGUAGGGAAGCUUUUAAAAACUGCUGUACUGCCUUAUUUCUCCCACCAGCCCUUACCGGUGUUUUGCAGGGGAAUUAAUGAUGGAAAGGAAGCGAUUUUUGGUGUAUUCAGGAAUUUCCCUAUGGUUGUUGACUUCAGCUGGGUAGUUCUGUUUGCAAGCACCUUUCCCCACCCCAGCUUUUCAGUAUCUAAGGAAAAAGAUAUCAAGUAAAACAGAAAUAAGGAAUGAGAAUCGCACCCACCUCUUUAAGGCUUUGUAAAUCUGAAAGGGGGAAAAAUGUGGAUCACGCUACCAGAGGAUGAUGACAGUACAGCAGACGCUGUGGAUUGUGGCCUGCAGUGGAAUGUCAGCAUUAGUUGUGGCUUUUGCAACUCGACAAAUCCGUCCUGUGAAGGCUGCGCUGUGUCCAUUUAGUGCCCAGGCUGUCCCUGGGAUUACAGUGAGAGAUUUUCAGUCACAGGUCGUGGUGUCAGGCUUGAAAUUGGGUUAAAUGGGGCUGAUAGAGGUGAGUAAAUUCACCAAAUUCUGCUUCUGGCCAUGCCAGGCAGAAUUAUUGUAUUAUUAGCAUUUUUCUUCCUGGCUGUUCUUGCCUUUAAGCUCAUUUUUAGAGGCAAGUCAAAGAAGAAAAAUUAAAUUAAAGGGACAUUUGGAACAAAUUAGGGAAUCAAUCUCCUGGGGCAUUUUGUUUAGACUGACUCUGUGCAAUACUAUUCCAGAGAGAGAAAAAAACCUGUAACACAACUUGGAGUGUGUUUGUCUGUCUAAAGUGAGUUUUCUAUUACUUGUCUACAAAAUCCUGUAGGACAGAAUGUUACUAAUUACUUUGUCUUUAAGACUUUUCUCCCUAUAGCAGAACAGCUCAUUGUUCAGUCGUCUCCUAAGCCAAUUUCCUAGAGAAGUUCAAAUAUCGUUUGACUUUCUGGCUUAGGAGCGUGUUUCCAGGAACAAGCAGUUCUGUGUAACCCAAUAAUUUGCAUUCCGUGCCCUUAGGACUCAGUGAAAACUUGUUGCCUAAACCCUGGAUUUC